Molecule: non-coding RNA, 814 nt
Filed under: Enterobacter roggenkampii
Lineage: Bacteria; Pseudomonadati; Pseudomonadota; Gammaproteobacteria; Enterobacterales; Enterobacteriaceae
Description: antisense RNA of rseC mRNA
Rfam family: antisense RNA of rseC mRNA
Source: RNAcentral
CCUGGGCUUCCAUUUCACGAUCAGACAGGCCACCGCAAAUCUGGAUAAUACGGUCAGACAGCGUCGACUUACCGUGGUCAAUGUGAGCAAUGAUCGAAAAGUUACGUAUGUUCUUCAUAUAGUUAAAUAAUUAUGCCUUACGAAUUCCUGGAGGCCGCUGUUCUUAGCCUGACGUUUUUCAGUGCGAAAACGCAGCAUUCUACACUACAUCUCCGCUACCUGGAAAUGGACUUAGCGCCAGGUAUAGCGUGAAGAAAGGACGUUUUCUGUUUUAAGACGUAAAAAUGACAAAGCCCGAUGAAUCACCGGGCCUCAGAAGAGAGCGUCUCAACGCGAAGCUGGUCUGGCGCCAGCCCAACGCUGAGAAUGACAGGCUGCCACUCCUCGCGCGCGGCAAGCGUCGGGGAGAGGCCUUUGGCAAGCCAGAAUCCCCCCAGCCCCCCUAAUGCGGCACCGCACAUGGCGGCACCGUCGGUGCCAAACAGCAUCUGGAAAACGCCGCCCAUGAUAAACAGCCCGAGCAGCGGAGAGAGAUAGACCAGCAUGGCGGAACUGAGCAGGCUGCCUUCCGCGAUGCCGAGUUCAACUUUCUGCCCGGCCAUCAGCGGCUGUUCGCUCGGCACAGAAAUCGUGUGCGAGGUUUGCGGCCCGAGCUUAUUCAGCACGCGGCUGCCGCAACCGGCUCGGGAAGCGCAGCUAUUGCAUGAGGCUUUUACAUCGCAGCUCACCAGCGCAAUGCCGUUUUGCCACGAGACUACCGUCGCCCAUUCUUUGAUCAUUGUGCGGCCCUGAAUUUAAUGCUGUCGGAGAUGCG